CCUGGCGGCAGGGGCGCGGUGGUCCCCCCUGCCCCCAUGCCGAACUCAGAAGUGAAACGCCGUAGCGCCGAUGGUAGUGUGGGGUCUCCCCAUGCGAGAGUAGGGAACUGCCAGGC
This 116-nucleotide ribosomal RNA is filed under the name Salmonella enterica subsp. enterica. Lineage: Bacteria; Pseudomonadati; Pseudomonadota; Gammaproteobacteria; Enterobacterales; Enterobacteriaceae. The record is from RNAcentral.